GGGGCUGUGGCGAAACCGGCAUACGCAGGUGACUUAAAAUCAUCCGCUCGAAAGAGCUUGUGGGUUCGAGUCCCACCAGCCCCA
RNAcentral lists this transfer RNA (84 nucleotides) under Anaerolineae bacterium. Its description in RNAcentral is "tRNA-Leu". It matches the Rfam family "tRNA". Rfam says of the family: Transfer RNA (tRNA) molecules are approximately 80 nucleotides in length. Their secondary structure includes four short double-helical elements and three loops (D, anti-codon, and T loops). Lineage: Bacteria; Bacillati; Chloroflexota; Anaerolineae. The record is from RNAcentral.